UUAUUAUUCUAAAUGUUAAUUGUGUGCCCCU
This 31-nucleotide non-coding RNA is filed under the name Mus musculus (house mouse). Lineage: Eukaryota; Metazoa; Chordata; Mammalia; Rodentia; Muridae. The record is from RNAcentral.